Molecule: ribosomal RNA, 301 nt
Filed under: uncultured bacterium
Lineage: Bacteria
Description: partial 16S ribosomal RNA
Rfam family: Bacterial small subunit ribosomal RNA
Source: RNAcentral
CAGUCGCCACGGUAAUACGAAGGGGGCUAGCGUUGCUCGGAAUGACUGGGCGUAAAGGGCGCGUAGGCGGAUUGCGCAGUCAGAUGUGAAAUUCCUGGGCUUAACCUGGGGGCUGCAUUUGAGACGCGUAGUCUAGAGUGUGAAAGAGGGUCGUGGAAUUCCCAGUGUAGAGGUGAAAUUCGUAGAUAUUGGGAAGAACACCGGUGGCGAAUGCGGCGACCUGGUUCAUAACUGACGCUGAGGCGCGAAAGCGUGGGGAGCAAACAGGAUUAGAUACCCCCGUAGUCCCUGUCUCUUAUAA